RNAcentral lists this ribosomal RNA (554 nucleotides) under uncultured bacterium. Its description in RNAcentral is "bacterial SSU rRNA". It matches the Rfam family "Bacterial small subunit ribosomal RNA", at positions 472 to 1022 of the family's 1533-position model. The record is from RNAcentral.
ACGGUACCUGGAGAAGAAGGACCGGCCAACUACGUGCCAGCAGCCGCGGUAAUACGUAGGGUCCGAGCGUUGUCCGGAAUUACUGGGCGUAAAGAGCUCGUAGGUGGUUUGUCGCGUUGUCCGUGAAAACUCACAACUCAAUUGUGGGCGUGCGGGCGAUACGGGCAGACUGGAGUACUGCAGGGGAGACUGGAAUUCCUGGUGUAGCGGUGGAAUGCGCAGAUAUCAGGAGGAACACCGGUGGCGAAGGCGGGUCUCUGGGCAGUAACUGACGCUGAGGAGCGAAAGCGUGGGGAGCGAACAGGAUUAGAUACCCUGGUAGUCCACGCCGUAAACGGUGGGUACUAGGUGUGGGUUUCCUUCCUUGGGAUCCGUGCCGUAGCUAACGCAUUAAGUACCCCGCCUGGGGAGUACGGCCGCAAGGCUAAAACUCAAAGAAAUUGACGGGGGCCCGCACAAGCGGCGGAGCAUGUGGAUUAAUUCGAUGCAACGCGAAGAACCUUACCUGGGUUUGACAUGCACAGGACGACUGCAGAGAUGUGGUUUCCCUUGUG